Molecule: ribosomal RNA, 254 nt
Filed under: uncultured bacterium
Lineage: Bacteria
Description: partial 16S ribosomal RNA
Rfam family: Bacterial small subunit ribosomal RNA
Source: RNAcentral
UACGGGGGGAGCAAGCGUUGUUCGGAUUUACUGGGCGUAAAGGGCGCGUAGGCGGCCAGCACAAGUCAGUUGUGAAAUCUCCGAGCUUAACUCGGAAAGGUCAACUGAUACUGUGCGGCUAGAGUGCGGAAGGGGCAACUGGAAUUCUUGGUGUAGCGGUGAAAUUCGUAGAUAUCAAGCGGAACACCGGUGGCGAAGGCGGCCUUCUGGACAGUGACUGACGCUGAGACGCGAAAGCGUGGGGAGCAAACAGG